GUCCCUUCAGGGACAUCCGAUAAAAUUACAACGAUACAGAGAAGAUUAGCACAUCCCUGCACAAGGAUGACAUGCAUAAAUAGAAAAUUGAUCAUAGUGUUU
Triticum aestivum (bread wheat) is the source of this 102-nucleotide non-coding RNA. The record is from Rfam. NCBI's taxonomy places the organism in Eukaryota, Viridiplantae, Streptophyta, Magnoliopsida, Poales, Poaceae.